GGGUGGAGCACGAGUUCGAGGCCCCCGAGGACACCUACAUCCUCGAGGCCGCCGAGAACGCCGGCGUGGAGCUGCCCUUCUCCUGCCGCGCCGGGUCCUGCUCCACCUGCGCGGGCAAGAUGUCGGCCGGCGAGGUCGACCAGUCGGAGGGGUCGUUCCUCGACGACAACCAGAUGGCCGAGGGGUACCUCCUCACCUGCAUCUCCUACCCCAAGGCGGACUGCGUCAUCCACACCCACAAGGAAGAGGAGCUGUACUAGAGUGCUCGUGCGUUCGGUGCUUCAAUGGCGGCGCA
Molecule: long non-coding RNA, 295 nt
Filed under: Setaria viridis
Lineage: Eukaryota; Viridiplantae; Streptophyta; Magnoliopsida; Poales; Poaceae
Description: long non-coding RNA (SVIR_LNC002805)
Source: RNAcentral